UGGCCCAUUAACCUUUCCCCUCGUCAAAACCUAAUCCUUCCCCGCAUUAAAAAGAUUAGAAGACCUAAAUAAUGAGAGAUCCCCCCCCCCCGCCCCCCGUUCUCUUAAAAAGGCCAGCGACGGCGCACCCCUCCCUGGGCUCCCUCUUGAUCUCUCUCAAAACCAGACCCCCCAUUUUUGGAAACCGAUUUUCAGCUAAAAAUGGCUGCUUCAAAAACUUCUACUCUCUCUCGCUGAAGAAAAAACGGACUCUCAUCUUCACACAAACGGACCCCCACCCUUGAAAAAACGUAGCAGCUGCUAAGAAAAUGGCAGUACUAGCGAGAGAAGAAGAGAAGCUUUAAGCUCCAGCCGCACCACCCCAUCUCCGCCCCGUACACUUUCACUGAUUAGAAGCAAAAAUUUCGAACAUUAAAAAAACAAAGACUAGAAAAGACAGAGAUCUAACUCGCAAAAAAGCUUCAAACAAGAGGAGUGAAAGGGAUCUGGGUAGCCACUUCAAUUUUUGCUGGUUUUGCACUACUUUUUUUUGAAACUUUUAAGGUUUAAUCGGACUGGAAUCAUCUUAUUUCUGCUGCUGUGUUACUUGAAUUCGUUGCUGAGCUUCAAACCCGCUGAUUCUAGCUUUAUUUGGCUUUCUUCUCUUCUAAAUUUGAACUUUGUGCAACGAGGUAUGUUCUCCACAAAAUUGUUCUUAGAUCUGUUUUGUUAUGGAAUCAUUGUUGUUGUUUAGUUCGUUUGUUGCUCUUAUAUGAAUUUAUUUGUUAGAUUUAAUUUCACACAAUGAGUGGAAUGUUACUAAACGCAAUUUUUCUUCAAAAGCUCUCUGUGUGCUUCAAGGAUUGUUUUCCCAAAUUUGCCCAGUAAUUGGAGAUUGUGCGUGGAUCUAAGUGGUAAUUGAAAAAAGUGCAGAGUUUUAUAUUUGGGUUAUUAAUUCAAGUGAAAGCUGUGUUCUUUAUUUGUUGUGGCUAUUGAUUUCAGUUAAAAUGGAGCAAGGUUUUGGUUCAGACUCUUUUCCACUAGCAGGGUCCAUUGACAAGUCUAAGGUUUUAGACGUUAAGUCUAUGAGAUGUCUUAUGCUUGUUUUUCCAUCUCCAUGUUUGAAUCAGUUAAUUAAGAGAAAAAUAUUCAAGCCUGUUGGAUGUGGUUUCCUACUAUCACUUAAGGUUGAAAUCAGAAUCCAUGUCUAAUUAAUUGGAUCAUGUUAUCAUUUCUGGGCACUUCGACUAUUACGAUUGUAAAUUCUUUAAGAUUCUUGUACCUAUAACUCUAACAACAGAUAGAUUCCAUAAAUUCUGGGCCUUUCAAUAAUCACAAAGUUAGGAAAUAACUUAUAUAAACAUUGUAGCUUGCUUUAGGCGCGAUUAAUAAAUCAUCGUGGCUAUGGGUACGGUUUUCGUGGCAUGGUCACGAUACAUAAUCCCCAAUUCGAGUGUGCUAGAUAUGUUGUAAAUCGCGGGUGCAUUUCAUGUAGCGUGGUCUGCAAUGUGUUCCAAAAUGACAAGUGUACGACAAUCGUGACUUGUUUUAGAAAUAACUCCAUAAAUAAAUACAAGCGGUUAUAAAAGUUAAAAAUGCACAAUAGGUUUAAAACAUGUAAUAAAUCAGAUAAUUAGGCCAAUUAUUAAUAGUUGAACGACCUUGCUAAAACCAUGAAACUCGAGAAGGUCUCACACCUUUUUCCGGGUUAACAGAAUUCCUUACCCGGUCUUCUGUGUUCGCAAACCAAAAAUAGAGUCAAUUUUCCUCUGGGAUUUAAAAUAAAUCAGUGACUUGAAACAUCAUAAAUUAUUCCAAGUAGCGACUCUGAAAUAAAUAAAAUAAUCCCAUUUCGAUUAAUGUCACUUAAAUUGGAAAAACUCUAAAAAAAAAAUACCCCUUUUGGAAAAAAAGGAGGUGUGACAUAAACUUCAAACAAAUGAAUACACAGAGAGAUUUCAAUGCUAUUUAGUUGUGUGAAAAAGGCUGGGUUUUGUUCUACCCUUCCUGAUUUCAUUUGAUGCCUUUACUGAAUGCAAACUUUUACUCAAUGUAAGUUUCUGCUUUACUCCAUCACUAUGUUAGUUCUACUUAGCGGCAAGAACAUGCAAGGUGAAUGAUGUUACAUAUUUGAUGCUGCAUGUGACAUGUCUGUUUGCCAUUGAGUCAUGUUUAUUCUUAUCAGCAUAACGAACAUCAAUAUGAUCGUCUACAACAAUUUCUGUAUAUUAAAGGCCAAUCAUUUAAUACCAUUUUUUUACAAAAUUUCAAAAGGGGAAUGAAAAUGAAACUACCCACAUGGAGUAAAAUUUCACAAAUGGUCAGAUAACUUAUGAUUUUUUAUUCACCAAAAUCAUAUAACUUUAUUUUCUCGCACAAUCAUAAAAUUCACUAACUCACACAAAAACCGUAGUGACCGGAAAAUACAUUUUUCGGUAGUAUUUUCUUACACCAUAUUUNNNNNNNNNNNNNNNNNNNNNNNNNNNNNNNNNNNNNNNNNNNNNNNNNNNNNNNNNNNNNNNNNNNNNNNNNNNNNNNNNNNNNNNNNNNNNNNNNNNNNNNNNNNNNNNNNNNNNNNNNNNNNNNNNNNNNNNNNNNNNNNNNNNNNNNNNNNNNNNNNNNNNNNNNNNNNNNNNNNNNNNAAAGUGAAUAUUUUUCACAUAAAAAAUUAACUUAGUUUGGUAUGCACGAGACUCUGACAAAAAAAAUAUGUAUAACUAGAGAGCACUUGAAAUAAAAUGCUAUCGAUUAGAACGAAAAUCUUGAAAAAAUAAAAUUAAAAAUAGAAUUAUACUAUUUUGAAUGGUCCACUUUUAGUAUUAUUCUAAUUUAUGUAUAUGGGUAUUAGGUAGGGUCGGGUUGUAUCAUUCCUAUUUUAAUUGAAUUAUUAUUUAAUAGAUAAAAAGUAAAAAAACAAAAAUCGUGAAAUAAGAAAAUACUACUGAAUAGUUGUAUUUUUUGGUCACUAUUUUUUAUGUGAGUCAGUAAAAGUUUUAUGAUUAUUGUGUGAAGAAAUAAAGUUAUAUAAAUUUAGUGAAAAAAAAUUAUAGUUACAUGACAAUUUGUAAAAUUUAAUGAUAUAAGUUCCUCAAUAGAAAUUGAUUGAUUUAAAAUUGAAUUGAAUUUUAAUUGUAAUUAUGAAUUAAUAUUAUUACAAGUGCAUUCAAUUAUGUGAAAUGGUUCCAACUAACAAUGAACAUGUGUUCUUAGAGAAAUCAUUACUAAUUCUUGAGAAUUGGGAUAGAAACUUUUCUUUACAUGUGAAAAUUUGCUUAAAAUUGUAUUAGCCUUCCUUUGUAUUUAUCGAAUUUUUAGAUUAUAGUACUGUAGUAGAUGAUAAAAAAAAAGUAGGAAAAAACUAUUACAUUAUUUUACAAGAUUGCUAACAGUAUUAACAAAUAAAUACAUUUCGCAAAUAAAGAGGAUACUUCUGAUCUUAACCGAAGAUCGUAAUUAAUUUUGGUUCUAUGAUCUUUAUUUUCUAUCUCCGAAUCAAGCCGGAUUAACUCAAAACCGGAGCAACCAUUCAAAUAUAUGUAGCCGAUGAUAGUUUUUAUGCUAAAGAUAGUGGGGCACCCGUAUUUUUAAAUUUUUGGCUCCCUAACUAUUCAUAAAUCAUACCUCUAAUUGUUGAACGAUGAUUUCUUCAUUUAAACAACUUCUAUUCUUAACAAAAUAAUAUUUAUCUUAGUAUCAUUUUUAAUUCAUUAAAUUACAGAGUAAAGAUAUUCUAUGAAAGUAGUGUCUUUGUAAAUGUGUGUGUAGCAUUCCAGUGGUUUAACUUGACGAUGAAAUGAAAUAGUGAGUUAGGUUUGAUCUAUAAUUUUUAAAACGUCACUUGAAAUAAUCAAAGUGUUACGGUGUUUAAUUUCAAAUUUUUAAAACGUCUCUUGAAAUAAUCAAAGUGUUACGGUGUUUAAUUUUAAAUUAAAAGGCAAUAUCAGACUUAAUAUUUAAUAUAAUUUGAAGAAUUUGAAAUAUUAAAUUUGUAUUUCUUCAACUCUCACAUGUUCUGAGUGAACAUGUGAUUAUUUUGUGUUAUUUUGUCGAUGUGUUGAUCGUAAGCAAUGAUAUAAUGACAUGACAAAAACAAAGAGGUUUCUACCUUGCACCUUUGAAGGAAAGGAUCUUGGAAAAUUGAUAUCUACCAUAUUAGUAUUAAGAUUAAGAGAAAUAUUAGAGUUAUAUGUAUUGAGUCAAUUUUAUUACAUUGAGAAAGUGCUAAAUAAAUUUAGUCACUUAAACAUGAAAGAGUUCAUUAUUCCAUUUAAUCAAAUUUUCGAGUUAACUAAGAAUGAUGAAAGAAUUAUAGCGUAGUCAAAUUGUACAUGCUCUUUUGGAAAAUAAUUGGACGAGUUCUUUGUUUUUCUAAGAAACCUAAAGAUUUGAGUUUUCAAUACUCAAAAGUUUCUACAUAACUCGGUAUACAUGUGCCGAGAGACUAAUAUAUAUAUAGUAUACGUAUGUUGCACGUGUUCCUCGCGUCAAGUAAAUAAUAUAUGUGCAAGAACAAUAUUUUUAAUUACAGAUGCUUCAUCACGAUUUUGUAUUUUUUUUCUUAUCAAUUUAAUAUUGAUAUAUUUGUGAUUUUCAUAUAUACUAACCUUGUAUUAUAUUUUCAAUUAAUGUAAUUUCAAAGGAGAAAUGUUUAGAAAAAAAAUGGAGAAUUACAGUUUUUGAAUAAGAUAAAUGAAUUUGGUCAUCUAAAAAAUUUAGGAUUAUUCUCACCAAUUCAAUCCUAUUUUAUUCCCUUCUUUUGAUUCUUCUGCUUAUUCUCAUCUCAAAAGAAUUUAUACAACCAAAAUUGGCAUGAGAACAAUAUAAGAAAAUAUCAAAUAUAUGAAUAAAGUUACAUAUGAACAUACAAAAUACUAAGCAACAUGGAGUUUAUAUCAAUAAUUAACGCGUGGAUCAUAAAUUAAUAGGAUUAUAUCCAAUAAAAAAUUUAUAAUAACUUUAAAAUUGUCACGAUCCGGAUUUCCCACCAUCAAGAUUGUGAUGGCGCCUAACUCUUAGAAUGCUAGGCAAGCCAACAGAUACAGUUCUAGCACAUUAAUUAUUAACCAAAACAGUAUUAACAUUAAUUUAAACUAAACAUAUAUGAAGUGCGGAAAUUUUAUAACAAUUUGAAACACUAAUACAUAACUACUCAAAAGAUCUGGUAUCACAAUCCACAAACUUCUAAGAAUUUUCUACAAACACUGGUUUAAAAGAAAUACAUUUGUUCUAGAAAUGAAAAGAGACAGAAAAUCUAAGAUAGAGGGAAGGGGACACCAGAGUCUGCGAACACCGACAGAUCUAUCUUGGGUCUUCUGUGGACUGAAGGCAGCAACCCAAACUCUGAUUAGUGUGGUCCAGUACCGGAAUCUGCACAGAAAGUGCAGAGUUCUGUAUCAGUGCAACCGACCCCAUGUAUUGGUAAGUGCCGAGCCUAAACUCGGCGAAGUAGUGACGAGGUUAGGACACGACAAAAAAUAUAAACAUGUGCAGUUAAAUCAUAUACGAGAAAAUAACAAUAACGAAAAUUUAACAAAUAAAGACGGAAGGGGGAAAAACAUGUUGGGGGACUAUGAAUAUUCUGAAAAUAGUACAGUACAGAAACACAAUGAAUAUAUCAUACUUGGAACCAACGAAAGUAAUAACACAACAAUCACGUGCACGGCCUCACCCUUCGUGCUCGCCAUAAGAAACAACAGAAAUGGCACGGUAUCACCCUUCGUGCAUUAUCUCUCUCAUAAUCAUGGCACGACAUCACCCUUCGUGCAUUAACACUCAUAGAAUAUGGCACGACAUCACCCUUCGUGCUUUAUCACUCACUCACAAAACAUUGCACGACAUCACCCUUUUUGCUUUACACUCUUCCUCACCCAAACGGCAGAAACAAUAUCAAUCCAACAAGGGAAUUAUCAAUAAACAACCCCGUUUCAACAUUUAUCUUCACAAUAUGAUUCUCAACUUGAGUCAAUACUCAACAAAUAUCCAAUACCAGAAAAACAUAAUAAGACUUGUUUAACAUGAUGAAUAACCAUUUUAAGCAUGAACAGUACGUAUAAAGAAAUACAAUAGUCACAAGUAUAAGGUUCACUCGUAUGCUAUGAUCCGACGCUAACGUAUAGAUACUCGUCGUCUCACCUAUACGUCGUAUUCAACAACUAAACAAGUAGCAAAUAAGGCAAUAACACCUAAUCCCUCUAGCUAAGGUUAACCACAACACUUACCUCGAUUCCACAGCCAAAAUCAAGCCUCAAUUACCGCUUUACCUCUCUAUUCCACCUCCAAUCCACUCGUAUUUAGUCAUAAUUAACUUAUAAUAUCAAGUAUCACUAAAGAAAUCAAUUCUAAUGCAAAAUUACAAGUUUUUCAAUAUUUUCCCCAAAAGGUCAAAAACCGACCCCGGGCCCGUUUGGUCAAAACUCGAAGUUUGGACCAAAACCCGAUUACCCAUUCACCCCUGCGCCCGGAUAUACAAUUGGUUUUGGAAUCCGACCUCAAUUUGAGGUCUAAAUCCCCAAAUUUCGAAUUUUCUAAAUUCUACCCAAAAACACCAAAUUCCACCUUGAAAAAUCCUAGAUUUUAUGAUGAAAUCUUGUAAAAAGAUGAAAUCGAUUGAAAGAAAUAUGUUAGGAUUCAUUUACCUAUGAUUUGGGGAAGAAAUGGUCUUUGGAAAAUCGCCUCUUGAAGUUUAGGGUUUGAAAAUUUGAGAAAUGAAUCAAAAAUCCCAUCCAAAACUCGUUUUGAACAGUUGCAGGUAUCGCAUUUGCGAUCACAGGUUCGCAAAUGCGAACUCGCAAAUGCGGACAUUACUUCGCAAUUGCGAAGGUUGGCCUGGCCUGCUAACAUCGCAAAUGCGAACAAAUGUUCGCAAACGCAGCCCAUGUUCCAAUCGCAAUUGCGACGAUGAGCUUCGCAAAUGCGAAGGUUCCCUCCCAGCCUACUAAUCACAAAUGCGAAGCUUUUUCACAACUACGAUGCUCGCAUUUGUGAGCCAGAAUGCAGACCUGCAACAUACCAGAAAUUUUCUUAAGUUUCAAAACACUCCGUAGCCUAUCCAAAACUCACCUGAGCCCUCGGGGCUCCAAACCAACCAUGCACACAAGUCUUAAAACAUCAUACGGACUUGGCAUGUGAUCAAAUCGCUAAAAUAACACCUAGAACUAUGAAUUCAAUACCAAAACACAUGGAAUUUUCAAGAUAGUUUCGAACUUCCUAUUUUCUCAACCAAAGGUCCGAAUCACGUCAAAUCACUUUUGUUUUUCACUAAAUUUUACAGAUAAGGUUUAAAUAUUAUAACGGACCUGUACCGGGCUCCGGAACCAGAAUACGGGCUCGGUACCAACAAGAUCAAAUCAUUUAAAUUAUUACAUUUUCAGUCUUAUCAAUUUUCUUCAAAAAUUUAUUUCUGAAGCUAGUGACCUCGAAAUUUGAUUCCGAGUAUAUGCCCAGGUUCCAUAUUUUACUACGGACUCUCCGAGACUGUCAAAACACGGGUCUGGGUUCGUUUACCCAAAAUGUUGACCGAAGUCAACUAAAAUCAUCUUUUUAAGCCAAAAUCAUCUUUUCUUAAGUUUUUCACAUAAGGGCUUUUCGUAUACGCACCCGGACUGCGUACGCAAAUUGAAGAGAAAAAAACAAGGUUUUCAAGGCCUCAGAGCAUAGGAUCGAAUUCUAAAACUAUAACGAUCCAACUGGUCAUUUUGAGCAAUUGCAUCCGGUUCGGCAGUUUGAGGUCACGAGCAGCUUCAUAUUAUGUGUAUCGACUUGCGUGCGUAGUCCGGGCGUAAAUCUAGAAAGCUUUUAUGUGAAAAUAUGAAAAAUAUAGUAAUUUCUAGAGUUAAAAUUUGGUUUUUAGUUGACUUUGGUCAACAUUUUUGGUAAACGGACUCGGAUCUGUGUCCCAAUGAUUCCGGGAGGUCCGCGGUAAAAUAUGAGACUUGGGUCUAUGCCCGGAAUUGAAUUCAGAGGUCCCUAGCCUUAGAAAAUAAUUUUUGAAGAAAAUUGUUGUGCUGGUUUUUAAAGGAAAUAAAGAAAUGAAUUAAUGUUUGAACUCGUUGGUAUCGACCCGUAUUUUGGUUGCGGAGACCGGUACAAGUUUUUUAUAAUAUUUAAGUCCUAUCUGUAAAAUUUGGUGAGAACCGGAAUUGAUUUGACGUGAUUUGGACGCCCGAUUGAAAAAAUAGAAAAAUUUGAGUGUCCUUGAGAAAAUCAUGAGUUUUGAGGUUAAAUUCAUACUUUUUGAUGUUAUUUUGAUGAUUUGAUCGCACUAGCAAAUCUGUAUGAUGUUUUUAGACUUGCAUGCAUGUUUGGUUUGGAGCAUCGAGGGUUUGGGUGAGUUUUGGAUAGGUUUAGGCUAUGUUGCGCUUGUUUUUGGAUGAUUCAUCGUCGUUUGUUCAAGCAAAAAUAAUACCACAUUGAGCAAAUGAGAUCCAAAUUCAGUUUUGUUUGAACCAUUAGGUCGGUAUCGAAAUUACGGAGCCAUAGGAAAAAGAAUCAUCGAAUUUAGACAUCGUUUGAGGAAGUUAUGCUCAUUUUCGUGUCGGAAAAAAUUCCUGGUUUCUGUUGUGUUCGCAAAUGCGAACUUUUUCAUCGCAUUUGCGAUGCCCAGUUCGCAAAUGCGAACUUUUUGUCACAAAUGCGACUUCUGCUAGCCCUGCUUUGUUCACAAUUUGCGAGGGUGCGUAAUUGCGAACCCUGGGUCGCAAAUGCGACAUGUGAGGCCUGUUAAGUGAGGUUUUUGACGAGAUUUUCACCCAUUUUUUAAUUUUCUCAAACCCUAAACCUCCAUGGGCGAUUUUCCAAAGACCCAAACAUCUCCAAAUCAUUGGGUAAGUGUCUCUAAUCAAUUUCCAACUAUAUUUUGUGAUUAUAUCUUAGAUUUAAUGUCAUGACCCAAAAUCCACUAAGGGUCGUGAUGGCGCCGGACACUACUGUCAGGCAAGCCAACCACCAUUUACUAGCAUUUUCUCAUUUUUUUAAUUAUUUUGAAAUCAUUUUCCUUGAGCAAAUAAAUAAUAAAUAAUAAACUCCGCUGGAUAAAUGAGGAUGUCUUUACAAAUUUAACCACUGAAAAAUUUCGUGAUCAUCCCAGAACCCGGUGUCACAAGUGCAUGAGCAUUUACUAGGGAAUGAAAUAAAAUACAGUAACUGUCCGGAAUACAAGUGGACAGAAAUGAAGAUACAGUACAAUUCUUUGAAGGAGACUCUGUUGGCUGCGGAUCGUCUCGAUAAUUGCAGCUUACCUAAGUCUCCAUAUCAACCAUGCCGCUAUGNNNNNNNNNNNNNNNNNNNNNNNNNAUCUUGAAGAAGUAGAGACGAGAGGUCGAUUUCGACACUUACUAGUGGUCCAAUGAUAAUAUAGUAAAUAUGUGAGGAGAUCAGGGAAUUUCAUUAAACAACAAUUCUAAUUCAUAAAUCCAGAUAGCAGGUAAAUAACUUCCCAAAUACUAAUGGAUUUCCAAAGAUUUACUUUUCAUUAUCUUUAUCAAUUUAUCUCCGGUCAGGAAAGACAAAUGUCAACAUUUAUAAAUCUCAAGCAACAAUACAAACAUGCGCAUAUCAUGCCGAGGUCGUACGGCCCGAUUCAACAUAAAUGUAAAAUGUGCACUGCCGAGGGUCAAACGGUGCGAACCAUAGAUGCAUCUAUUACCCCGCUCGCGAAUCAUCCAUGCGACGCGGUCAACACAAAAUUAACAAACACCCUGCUCGCGAACCAUACAUGCGACGCAGGUACACAUAGAGAUACAUGCUCAAACAGCAAAUUAAGAAUUUAUCGGGGAACGUUUAUCCAAAUAAAAUCCAAUUCUCUUUUAGCGAUUUAAGAAGAGAAGUUUAAUCCUUUUAGAAAUUCAUUUACCAAUUCGAUAAGAUUUAAGCAAUUCAACUGCCAACAAGAUUACAGAUAUUCCAAGUAUAGCAUGCUUUUGGGUCCUAGACUACCCAGACAAUAGCAUAAUAGUAGCUAUGCACGGACUCUCGUCACCUCGUGCGUAGGUAGCCCCCACAAAUAGGAGCACAUAAUUGAUUAACUCACCUACGGGGACAAUUCCCUCUUACAAGGUUAGAAAGGAGACUCACCUCGCUCCGAAGAUCCAUAACGGGCAUUCCACGCUCUUCCGAAGACUCGAAUCGAUGCAUAUUGCUCCAAAACUAGGCAAUAAUUAUGCAAAUCCAUUAAUAUAUAUUCAAUUACUCAUUACAAUCUAAUUUAUAAUAAUUUCUAGCUCCGAUAUUGCCCUCGGGCCCACGUGCCCGGAUUCCGAAAUUUCUCGAAGAUAAAGUUUACCCAUAACCUCACGAACUCAAAUAUAUAGUUUACUCUCAAUUUCAUACUCAAAAUCGUGGUCAAAUUUCAAGAAUAUCGAUUUUCUAGGUUUUCCCCCAAACCCCAAGUUUCUACAAAUUUCAUGCUCAAAUCCGUACAUAAUCAAUGUAUUUAACUCAAGAUAGGUGGGGAUAGCUUACCUUAUCGUUGAUGAUGAAAACCCCCCCUUGAAACCCUCCAAGAAUCGCCCAAGCCAAGAGAAAAAUGAGAGAAAAUGGCCAAAUCCCGAUUUUUAAAACACUUACUGCCUCCAGUCCUUUCGCACCUGCGGUUACUUGGCCGCUUCUGCGGUUCAGCAGGUGCGGUUACAAUACCGCUUCUGCAGUCCUCCUCCUACUUCCCCAGCCUGCUUCUGCGCCGCACCGACCGCAUUUGCGAUCACACAUGUGCGGGAUUUCCUUCGCACCUGCAGCCUCUGAGCCCUUCGCUUCUAACCGCUUCUGCGGCACGAUGACUGCUCCUGCGGCUACGCACCUGUAGCCCUAGCCUCGCAGGUGCGGUUACACUAGCAACUUGAGCCUUCUCCAAAAUUCUAUUUUCGAUCCGUUAAUCACCCGGAAUCCACCCGAGGCCCUCGGGACCCCAACCAAUCAUACCAACCAGUCCCAAAACACAUUACGGACUUGCUCGAGGCCUCAAAUUAUAUCAAACAAUGCUAAAAUCACGAAUCGACCCCCAAUCCAAGCUUUAUGAACUUUAGAACUUCAAACUUCUACUUUCGAUGUUUAAAUCUAGAAAAUCACGUUCGAUUGACCUCAAAUUUUGCACACAAGUCAUAUUCGACAUUACAGACCUACUCCAACUCUCUGAAUCGAAUUCCGACCAAUAUCAAAAAGUCCACUUCCGGUCAAACAUCUCAAAAACCUUCAAAUUUCUAUCUUUAGCCAAAUGACUCCAAAAUGACCUAUGGACCUCCAAAUUCACUUCCGAUCGCGCUCCCAACUCCAGAAUCACCAUACGGAGCUACUCCCAGACUCGGAAUCCCAAACGGACAUCGAUAACACUGAAAUGCACUUCAACCCAAACUUAUGAAAUUUCUUCCAGAAUGCUAACUUCCACAAUAGGCGCCAAAACGUUUCUAGGUCUUCCGAAACCCGAUUCGGACAUACGCCCAAGUCCGAAAUCAUCAUACGAACCUGCUGGAACCUUCGAAUCCUGAUUUCGAGGUCGUUUACUCAAAAAUCCAAUCUUAGCUAACUCUUUCAACUUAAAGCUUCCGAAAUGAGAAUUCUCUUUCCAAAUCAACUCCGAACUUUCCGGAAUUCAAUUCCGACCAUGCGCACAAGUCAUAAUACCUGAAGUGAAGCUGCUCAUGGCCUCAAACUGCUGAACGACGCGCUAGAGCUCAAAACGACCGGUCGGGUCGUUACAUUUAACAUCAAAUUCAUGCGAAUCUAAAGGAAAAUUUGGGGAAAAUUGUGAAAUCUUUCAAAAAUGUAAAAUGAUGAUUUAAAUGACCAAAUGGUAUCGGAAUUAGAUAAAUUUUGUAUGGGUGAACUCGUAAUGGAAUGUUUGUUCGAUUUUUGUAAAUUUUUCAGGUUCCGAGGUGCAGGCCCGAGGAGUUGCCUUUUGUUGAAUUUUUGCAAAUUGUACAAGAAUCAUAGUUUUGUUAAUUGAAAUUGUUUUCUCUUGCAUUGUUUGAUGUAUUCAAGUUAUUUUUGGCUAGAUUGAGCCGAGCGUUGAUGAAUUAGUAAAGGAAAAGCUAAAUUGAGUAUUGAAUUGGCCGGAUUGAGGUAAGUAUCUUGCCUAACCUUGUGGGAGGGGGAGGGACUUCCCCUUAAGAUUUGAGUCUUCUAUUCUAAUUGUAGUUCAUGCACGCGAGGUGACGAGUGUGUGCUCGGAUUUAUUUAUGGAAACUUUGCCUCUAGGGUUCUUAGGUCCUUAUGUCCAUUAUGUGGAAAGUAUCCUGUUAUGAUUUGGUUUAAUAACUGCUUGAAUUGCCUCUAUAUGCUUCAUAUGAUGUUGUUAACUUUACUCUAAUUCCUACGUGUUACAGUGACCCUUAAUUGCCUUAAUUGAAGUGAUUGCCUCCCUUAUUGUUUUGGAUACUUCUUGAUUGUGAGUUCUUCUAUGACUUCGUGCAAAUAUGUUACAUGUCCAAUUGUUGUGGUUAUCAGUGUAGUAUCACGUGCUUAUUAUGUCUUGUUGUUUUGUUGAGGUUAUCGUGCUUCUUGGUUUUUUUUCCAUAACCCUUAUGAUGUACUUGUUGAUUCCCUUGCCGGGAAGUUAUUGUUUAUGAUAUUGUCUCCCUUGCCGGGAUAUUAUUGUUAUACUCUUGUUUCAUUGCCGAGAUUCUUUUAUGCUUGAUGUUGAAUUGUAUUUAGGGAUAAGGUUGCACGCCGCAACGAUAUUAUAUGAAAUGGUAUCAGGUUGCACGCCGCAACAGUAUUAUGUGAAAUGGGAUCGGGUUGCACGUCGCAAUGAUAUUAUGUAAAAUGGGAUUGGGUUGCAUACCGCAACGGUAUUAUAUGAAAUUGGAUUGGGUUGCACGCCGCAAUAGUGUUAUGUGAAAUGGGAUCGGGUUGCACGCUGCAACGGUAUUAUGUAAAAUGGGAUCGCGUGGCACGCCGCAACGGUAUUAUGUGAAAUGGAAUCGGGUUGCACGCCACAACAGUGUUAUAUGAUUUGGGAUCGGGUUGCACGCCACAACAAGAAAGAAUAAAAGUGAAUAUUGAUUCUUAUGGUGAGAACGAGAGUAAAAGCACGAAGGGUGAUGUUGUGCACUUUCUGUUGCUGUGUUUAUUUGUUGUUAUCAAUUCAAGUGCUUUAACUAUUUAAAUCCCUUUGUUGCUGUGAUCCUUUAUGUUGGAACCUACAGUGUUUUCAAUACCUCGCCGUAUUUAUAUAUAUACAUUCCAAUACUUGAAACUUCAAUAAUUAUUACAUCUUUAAUUCAAUUGGUUUCUCAAUUAUAUCCCCUUAAACUGCCUGAUGUUGUAUUUUACUUAAAAAAAGAAUUUCUACUAAGCUUUAAGUUAUUAGCUCUCAUGUUAAAGGUAAUAAUCCACUCGAUGUUGUAUUUUAAUUGAAAAGGGUACCUUCUUUACUCAAAUGAUUUCAAAAGAAACAGCUUCAUCUUUUCUUGCUGGCUUUCCUAAUUAGUUUAGAAAUUGUAAUUUACUUAUAUUAGGUAAAUGAGUUUCUUGAACAUCUUGAGUGCAUUUGUACGAACAUUAUGUAUUGUAUAGCAUUUGGAUUUUGUUGUUAAAAGUGAGAUGGAAAUUAUGGGGGCACAAGAUGCCAUGUGUGCUGAAGGUUCAGAAGUUGGAAUUAUGAUAUGAGAAACUGAGGAUUGAGAUGGUCGGGAUUGUGUUUUAGACAUGAUGUGAUCGAUUGAGUUGGUAUUGCCUUCUUUAUUUGAAUACAGUCUUAAUUGUCUCUGUUCCUGUUAUGUCAGUGUUGAUUUACUUGGUUAUCUCACUUACUUGGUUAUCUGAUUUACCUGGUUAUCUGAUUUACUUUGUUAUCGUUCGCAACUACCCAUGUUCUCCCUUUAUUGUUCCUACUGUUUGUAUUUUGAUUUCUCUCCGUUGUUGAUAUUAUCUCGUUAUCUUUAUCUCGAUAUUUCACUAUCAUAUCUUGUUUAUUUCAUUUCACCAGUAGGUGUCUUGACUAUUUCUCGUCACUACCCCACCGAGGUUAGUCUUGAUACUUACUGGGCACCACCGUGGUGUGCUCAUACUACACUUCUGUACAUUUUUGUGUACAGAUCCAGGUAUUGAUCGAUAGUAGCUGUGCGGAUGGUCGCGGUGGAGACUCACGGCAACCUGUUGCUGCGUUUACAGGCUUCGGAGUCACCUUCGUUUGUAUUUACGCUCCAUUGAUUCCUUCUCGUUCUGGAAUAGUGUUGUAUUUAUUUUAUAUAACUACUCUUAGAAAGACUUAUGACUUGUACCACCGGUUUUGGGGAAUUGUGAUUUAUUGAAAGUUAUUUAAUUUGAAGUCAGUAAAUGCUAAUUUUAUUUCAGUAAAUGCUAGGCUUACCUAAUUUAGAGACUUUUGUGCCA
RNAcentral lists this long non-coding RNA (14304 nucleotides) under Nicotiana tabacum (common tobacco). RNAcentral's name for it is "long non-coding RNA (NTAB_LNC012933)". The record is from RNAcentral. Lineage: Eukaryota; Viridiplantae; Streptophyta; Magnoliopsida; Solanales; Solanaceae.